This 401-nucleotide ribosomal RNA is filed under the name uncultured Alphaproteobacteria bacterium. RNAcentral's name for it is "bacterial SSU rRNA". It matches the Rfam family "Bacterial small subunit ribosomal RNA", at positions 90 to 526 of the family's 1533-position model. Lineage: Bacteria; Pseudomonadati; Pseudomonadota; Alphaproteobacteria. The record is from RNAcentral.
ACCUAGCGGCAGACGGGUGCGUAACAUGUGGGAAUCUGCCUUUUGGUUCGGAACAACAUGGGGAAACCUGUGCUAAUACCGGAUAAGUCCUAACGGAGAAAGUUUUAAUGCCAAAAGAUGAGCCCGCAUUUGAUUAGCUUGUUGGUGAGGUAAAAGCUCACCAAGGCUAUAAUCAAUAGCUGAUUUGAGAGGAUGAUCAGCCACACUGGGACUGAGAUACGGCCCAGACUCCUACGGGAGGCAGCAGUGGGGAAUCUUGCACAAUGGAGGAAACUCUGAUGCAGCGAUGCCGCGUGAGUGAAGAAGGCCUUUGGGUUGUAAAGCUCUUUCGUCGGGGAAGAAAAUGACUGUACCCGAAUAAGAAGGUCCGGCUAACUUCGUGCCAGCAGCCGCGGUAAUAC